AGUGAACGCUGGCGGUAGGCCUAACACAUGCAAGUCGAACGGCAGCACAGUAAGAGCUUGCUCUUACGGGUGGCGAGUGGCGGUCGGGUGAGGAAUACAUCGGAAUCUACUUUUUCGUGGGGGUUAACGUAGGGAAACUUACGCUAAUACCGCAUACGACCUACGGGUGAAAGCAGGGGAUCUUCGGACCUUGCGCGAUUGAAUGAGCCGAUGUCGGAUUAGCUAGUUGGCGGGGUAAAGGCCCACCAAGGCGACGAUCCGUAGCUGGUCUGAGAGGAUGAGCAGCCACACUGGAACUGAGACACGGUCCAGACUCCUACGGGAGGCAGCAGUGGGGAAUAUUGGACAAUGGGAGCAAGCCUGAUCCAGCCAUACCGCGUGGGUGAAGAAGGCCUUCGGGUUGUAAAGCCCUUUUGUUGGGAAAGAAAAGCAGCAGGUUAAUACCCCGCUGUUCUGACGGUACCCAAAGAAUAAGCACCGGCUAACUUCGUG
RNAcentral lists this ribosomal RNA (492 nucleotides) under uncultured bacterium. Its description in RNAcentral is "partial 16S ribosomal RNA". It matches the Rfam family "Bacterial small subunit ribosomal RNA", at positions 29 to 507 of the family's 1533-position model. The record is from RNAcentral.